RNAcentral lists this ribosomal RNA (215 nucleotides) under uncultured bacterium. Its description in RNAcentral is "partial 16S ribosomal RNA". It matches the Rfam family "Bacterial small subunit ribosomal RNA", at positions 524 to 740 of the family's 1533-position model. The record is from RNAcentral.
UACGAAGGGGGCUAGCGUUGUUCGGAUUUACUGGGCGUAAAGCGCACGUAGGCGGAUUGUUAAGUCGGGGGGUGAAAUCCUGGAGCUCAACUCCAGAACUGCCUUCGAUACUGGCAAUCUCGAGUCCGGAAGAGGUAAGUGGAACUCCCGGUGUAGUGGUGAUAUGCGUAGAUAUCGGGAGGAACACCAGUGCGAAGGCGGCUUCUGGGCCUUAC